GAAAAGUUCAGUUGGCUGAUUAAGAAAUGAGUUUAGCUUACUUGUAUGCAUAAACAACCUAGUUUUAAGUGAGAAGUAGCCUUAUUGUAAUUUUCAUUGACAACUGGAACCUGGUGAGGGCAAUGGAGUCUUAGAGGUGCUUGAGCAUGGCUUGGAUAUUAGAUUUCAGCAAGAGUUAUUCUCUUGUUAAUUAGUCCUUAGUUCAUAGCAUUUGAUUUAUAUUGGACUCAGAUAAUGGUUUUCCAUCAUGGUGAAAUUCAAAUCAUACCAUGCACAUAUUUUCUCUUACCUUUCUUAUGCCAUUUUCCCCUUUUUCUCUGGCAAUCUG
This 328-nucleotide unclassified non-coding RNA is filed under the name Hevea brasiliensis (rubber tree). The record is from RNAcentral. Lineage: Eukaryota; Viridiplantae; Streptophyta; Magnoliopsida; Malpighiales; Euphorbiaceae.